Molecule: ribosomal RNA, 235 nt
Organism: Streptomyces afghaniensis 772
Lineage: Bacteria; Bacillati; Actinomycetota; Actinomycetes; Kitasatosporales; Streptomycetaceae
Rfam family: Bacterial large subunit ribosomal RNA
Source: Rfam
UGCUGGAACGUUAAGGGACCGGUUAGCUCCAUUUCGGUGGGCGAAGCUGAGAACUUAAGCGCCAGUAAACGGCGGUGGUAACUAUAACCAUCCUAAGGUAGCGAAAUUCCUUGUCGGGUAAGUUCCGACCUGCACGAAUGGCGUAACGACUUCUCGACUGUCUCAACCAUAGGCCCGGCGAAAUUGCACUACGAGUAAAGAUGCUCGUUUCGCGCAGCAGGACGGAAAGACCCCG